Small nuclear RNA from Oryctolagus cuniculus (rabbit), 110 nucleotides. Its record names the gene U2. It matches the Rfam family "U2 spliceosomal RNA". From Rfam's summary of the family: U2 is a small nuclear RNA (snRNA) component of the spliceosome (involved in pre-mRNA splicing). Complementary binding between U2 snRNA (in an area lying towards the 5' end but 3' to hairpin I) and the branchpoint sequence (BPS) of the intron results the bulging out of an unpaired adenosine, on the BPS, which initiates a nucleophilic attack at the intronic 5' splice site, thus starting the first of two transesterification reactions that mediate splicing. The record is from Ensembl. NCBI's taxonomy places the organism in Eukaryota, Metazoa, Chordata, Mammalia, Lagomorpha, Leporidae.
AUUGCUUCUCGGCCUUUGGCUAAGAUCAAGUGUAGUAUCUGUUCUUAUCAGUUAUACUGAACUUAUCAUUAUAGUACUGGGCCUAACACAAUUUGGUAGACUCAUCUUAU